CUUGAUAAACCAUAAGAGGUCCAGCCUGCCCAGUGACUCUGUUCAACGGCCGCGGUAUCCUAACCGUGCGAAGGUAGCGUAAUCACUUGUUCUUUAAAUGAGGACUAGUAUGAAUGGCACCACGAGGGUUACACUGUCUCCUUCCUCUAAUCAGUGAAACUAAUCUCCCCGUGAAGAAGCGGGGAUGAAAUUAUAAGACGAGAAGACCCUAUGGAGCUUUAAACACAGUAACAAUUGCCCUGACCUUACUUACCAGCCCCCGGGCACAAUUAUUCACUCAGGCACCUUGAUUACAAGUUUUAGGUUGGGGUGACCGCGGAGCAAAAAAUAACCUCCACAGUGAAAGGGGUCUCACCCCCUAAACCCCGGGCCACAGCCCCAAGAAUCAAAAAAUUGACACCCGUUGACCCAUUAUCUAUGACCAACGAAC
Molecule: ribosomal RNA, 430 nt
Filed under: Leptodactylus podicipinus group sp. ABGD cluster 71
Lineage: Eukaryota; Metazoa; Chordata; Amphibia; Anura; Leptodactylidae
Description: partial large subunit ribosomal RNA
Rfam family: Bacterial large subunit ribosomal RNA
Source: RNAcentral